Molecule: ribosomal RNA, 1005 nt
Filed under: Salmonella enterica subsp. enterica serovar Enteritidis
Lineage: Bacteria; Pseudomonadati; Pseudomonadota; Gammaproteobacteria; Enterobacterales; Enterobacteriaceae
Description: partial 23S ribosomal RNA
Rfam family: Bacterial large subunit ribosomal RNA
Source: RNAcentral
AAUCCAUAGGUUAAUGAGGCGAACCGGGGGAACUGAAACAUCUAAGUACCCCGAGGAAAAGAAAUCAACCGAGAUUCCCCCAGUAGCGGCGAGCGAACGGGGAGGAGCCCAGAGCCUGAAUCAGCAUGUGUGUUAGUGGAAGCGUCUGGAAAGGCGCGCGAUACAGGGUGACAGCCCCGUACACAAAAGCGCAUGUGCUGUGAGCUCGAUGAGUAGGGCGGGACACGUGGUAUCCUGUCUGAAUAUGGGGGGACCAUCCUCCAAGGCUAAAUACUCCUGACUGACCGAUAGUGAACCAGUACCGUGAGGGAAAGGCGAAAAGAACCCCGGCGAGGGGAGUGAAAAAGAACCUGAAACCGUGUACGUACAAGCAGUGGGAGCACAGGUUUACCUGUGUGACUGCGUACCUUUUGUAUAAUGGGUCAGCGACUUAUAUUCUGUAGCAAGGUUAACCGAAUAGGGGAGCCGGAGGGAAACCGAGUCUUAAUUGGGCGUUAAGUUGCAGGGUAUAGACCCGAAACCCGGUGAUCUAGCCAUGGGCAGGUUGAAGGUUGGGUAACACUAACUGGAGGACCGAACCGACUAAUGUUGAAAAAUUAGCGGAUGACCUGUGGCUGGGGGUGAAAGGCCAAUCAAACCGGGAGAUAGCUGGUUCUCCCCGAAAGCUAUUUAGGUAGCGCCUCGUGAAUUCAUCUCCGGGGGUAGAGCACUGUUUCGGCUAGGGGGCCAUCCCGGCUUACCAACCCGAUGCAAACUGCGAAUACCGGAGAAUGUUAUCACGGGAGACACACGGCGGGUGCUAACGUCCGUCGUGAAGAGGGAAACAACCCAGACCGCCAGCUAAGGUCCCAAAGUCAUGGUUAAGUGGGAAACGAUGUGGGAAGGCCCAGACAGCCAGGAUGUUGGCUUAGAAGCAGCCAUCAUUUAAAGAAAGCGUAAUAGCUCACUGGUCGAGUCGGCCUGCGCGGAAGAUGUAACGGGGCUAAACCAUGCACCGAAGCUGCG